CAGAGUUGCAAAACUCCCUAAAACCAUUGUGAACCGACCCCCUAAAACCGUUUGCCUCGGCGGGCGGCACGGGCGCGUCCUGGACCUCCUUCGGGGGGCUCCUGUGGCACCCCGGCCGCUAUAAAGCCCGCCGUGGCCGAAAACCAAACUCUUGUUUUUAAACUUCUGGCCUCUCUGAGUUAACUGUACUUUAAAUAAGUCA
Molecule: unclassified non-coding RNA, 202 nt
Filed under: uncultured Podospora
Lineage: Eukaryota; Fungi; Ascomycota; Sordariomycetes; Sordariales; Lasiosphaeriaceae
Description: sequence contains ITS1
Source: RNAcentral